GCGCUCGUAGCUCAACUGGAUAGAGCGACAGACUUCGGAUCUGUAGGUUAUGGGUUCGAUUCCUAUCGGGUGCACCA
Molecule: transfer RNA, 77 nt
Filed under: Campylobacter jejuni subsp. jejuni
Lineage: Bacteria; Pseudomonadati; Campylobacterota; Epsilonproteobacteria; Campylobacterales; Campylobacteraceae
Description: tRNA-Arg
Rfam family: tRNA
About the family: Transfer RNA (tRNA) molecules are approximately 80 nucleotides in length. Their secondary structure includes four short double-helical elements and three loops (D, anti-codon, and T loops).
Source: RNAcentral